RNAcentral lists this ribosomal RNA (253 nucleotides) under uncultured prokaryote. RNAcentral describes it as "partial 16S ribosomal RNA". It matches the Rfam family "Bacterial small subunit ribosomal RNA", at positions 524 to 776 of the family's 1533-position model. The record is from RNAcentral.
UACGAAGGGUGCAAACGUUGCUCGGAAUUAUUGGGCGUAAAGCGCACGUAGGCGGCUCGGAAAGUCCCAUGUGAAAUCCCACAGCUUAACUGUGGAAGUGCAUGGGAAACCUCCGAGCUUGAGUACUUAAGAGGAUCGCGGAAUUCCCGGUGUAGAGGUGAAAUUCGUAGAUAUCGGGAGGAACACCAGUGGCGAAGGCGGCGCACUGGACCACAACUGACGCUGAGGCGCGAAAGCUAGGGGAGCAAACAGG